This is a non-coding RNA of Aedes albopictus (Asian tiger mosquito), 74 nucleotides long. The record is from Rfam. NCBI's taxonomy places the organism in Eukaryota, Metazoa, Arthropoda, Insecta, Diptera, Culicidae.
UGUUAUGUGGCUUAGUUGGUUAAAGCGCCGGUCUAGCGUAUACGGAGUCGUGGGUUCGAACCCCAUCAGAACGC